GAUGAACGCUGGCGGCGUGCCUAAUACAUGCAAGUAGAACGCUGAAGGAGGAGCUUGCUCUUCUGGAUGAGUUGCGAACGGGUGAGUAACGCGUAGGUAACCUGCCUGGUAGCGGGGGAUAACUAUUGGAAACGAUAGCUAAUACCGCAUGACAACAGUUAUUGCAUGAUAACUGUUUAAAAGGGGCAACUGCUCCACUACCAGAUGGACCUGCGUUGUAUUAGCUAGUUGGUGAGGUAACGGCUCACCAAGGCGACGAUACAUAGCCGACCUGAGAGGGUGAUCGGCCCCACUGGGACGGAGACACGGCCCAGACUCCUCCGGGAGGCAGCAGUAGGGAAUCUUCGGCAAUGGACGGAAGUCUGACCGAGCAACGCCGCGUGAGUGAAGAAGGUUUUCGGAUCGUAAAGCUCUGUUGUAAGAGAAGAACGAGUGUGAGAGUGGAAAGUUCACACUGUGACGGUAUCUUACCAGAAAGGGACGGCUAACUACGUG
RNAcentral lists this ribosomal RNA (495 nucleotides) under uncultured bacterium. RNAcentral describes it as "partial 16S ribosomal RNA". It matches the Rfam family "Bacterial small subunit ribosomal RNA", at positions 28 to 507 of the family's 1533-position model. The record is from RNAcentral.